GCAGCAGCCGCGGUAAUACGGAGGGUGCAAGCGUUAAUCGGAAUUACUGGGCGUAAAGCGCACGCAGGCGGUCUGACAAGUCAGAUGUGAAAUCCCCGGGCUUAACCUGGGAACUGCAUUUGAAACUGUCAGGCUGGAGUCUUGUAGAGGGGGGUAGAAUUCCAGGUGUAGCGGUGAAAUGCGUAGAGAUCUGGAGGAAUACCGGUGGCGAAGGCGGCCCCCUGGACAAAGACUGACGCUCAGGUGCGAAAGCGUGGGGAGCAAACAGGAUUAGAUACCCGCGUAGUCCCUGUCUCUUAUAC
RNAcentral lists this ribosomal RNA (302 nucleotides) under uncultured bacterium. Its description in RNAcentral is "partial 16S ribosomal RNA". It matches the Rfam family "Bacterial small subunit ribosomal RNA", at positions 508 to 807 of the family's 1533-position model. The record is from RNAcentral.